CGACAGCGACCCCAGGUCAGGCG
This 23-nucleotide ribosomal RNA is filed under the name Forsythia nakaii. Its description in RNAcentral is "partial 28S ribosomal RNA". Lineage: Eukaryota; Viridiplantae; Streptophyta; Magnoliopsida; Lamiales; Oleaceae. The record is from RNAcentral.